AGCAGCCGCGGUAAUUCCAGCUCCAAUAGCGUAUAUUAAAGUUGUUGCAGUUAAAAAGCUCGUAGUUGAAUUUCGGGAUCAAUUAAUUGGUCGUGCCUCUGGUACGUACUGAUUUUAUUGGUUUCUCCCUUCUGACGAACCAUGAUGUCAUUAAUUUGGUGUCGUGGAGAAUCAGGACUGUUACUUUGAAAAAAUUAGAGUGUUUAAAGCAAGCUAACGCUUGAAUACAUUAGCAUGGAAUAAUGAAAUAGGACGUUUGAUCCUAUUUUGUUGGUUUCUAGGAUCGACGUAAUGAUUAAUAGGGAUAGUUGGGGGCAUUAGUAUUCAAUUGUCAGAGGUGAAAUUCUUGGAUUUAUUGAAGACUAACUACUGCGAAAGCAUUUGCCAAGGAUGUUUUCAUUAAUCAAGAACGAAAGUUAGGGGAUCGAAGACGAUCAGAUACCGUCGUAGUCUUAACCAUAAACUAUGCCGA
This 472-nucleotide ribosomal RNA is filed under the name uncultured Glomus. RNAcentral describes it as "SSU rRNA". It matches the Rfam family "Eukaryotic small subunit ribosomal RNA", at positions 569 to 1045 of the family's 1831-position model. Lineage: Eukaryota; Fungi; Glomeromycota; Glomeromycetes; Glomerales; Glomeraceae. The record is from RNAcentral.